RNAcentral lists this ribosomal RNA (506 nucleotides) under Dendrophidion vinitor. RNAcentral's name for it is "partial 16S ribosomal RNA". It matches the Rfam family "Bacterial large subunit ribosomal RNA", at positions 1816 to 2597 of the family's 2925-position model. Lineage: Eukaryota; Metazoa; Chordata; Lepidosauria; Squamata; Colubridae. The record is from RNAcentral.
AACCUUUAGCCAAACAAGUAUUAAAGGCGAUGCCUGCCCAGUGAACAAUUAAACGGCCGCGGUACCCUAACCGUGCAAAGGUAGCGUAAUCAUUUGUCUACUAAUUAUAGACCUGUAUGAAAGGCAAAAUGAGGGUCUAACUGUCUCUUAUAAUUUAUCAAUUAAACUGAUCUCCUAGUAAAAAAGCUAGAAUUACCACAUAAGACCAGAAGACCCUGUGAAGCUUAAACUAAAUUAUUAAACCCUAUAAUAACUACUUUCGGUUGGGGCGACCCUGGAAAUAAAAAGAACUUCCACAUACCUAUGACUACUCAUACCCACAGGCCCACUAGCCAAAAACUGACCCAGCAAAGCUGAUAAAUGAACCAAGUUACUCCAGGGAUAACAGCGCAAUCUUCUUCAAGAGCCCAUAUCAAAAAGAAGGUUUACGACCUCGAUGUUGGAUCAGGACAUCCUAAUGGUGCAGCCGCUAUUAAGGGUUCGUUUGUUCAACGAUUAACAGUCCC